RNAcentral lists this long non-coding RNA (2254 nucleotides) under Pan troglodytes (chimpanzee). RNAcentral describes it as "lincRNA". Lineage: Eukaryota; Metazoa; Chordata; Mammalia; Primates; Hominidae. The record is from RNAcentral.
AUGUAAUUAUAUUUAAUUACAAGUGUGCUCCUGGUGGUCUUUAACUGAAGGGCACUGACUGGGUCACUGGUGAAGUUCCCCGCAGGAACUGAGUCAGACCCCAUCUCAGGGCCCCGCACAAGAUAGGUGCCUGCACUAAGGCGUGGACCCUCGCGACAGCCCUGGCCCGUCUUGACGGGCGAGGGUUACUGUACUUGUCCCAACCGUACAGAUGAGAAAGCUGAGACUCAGGGCGAGCAACCCGGGUCCCAGCGGAGCGCCGGGCACGCGCCGACACUUCCGCACCAGUCGCGGUGGCCACCACUGUGCGCGGAGAUGGCUGCGACGCGUGCGCAGAUCUCGAUCCCAAACUCCCUCCUGCCAGAAUCUGGACCCGAAUCCACCCAUUGCCCAGUUUCCGCUGCCGCUGGAGAGAAUCUCUGAGGUCCCCAGGACAGCCUGCCUGCACGGAAGAGAUGCCUCCUCAGUAUGGCCGCCCCCGGAGAGGAGCGAUUAAGUGCAGACCUCCAUGUUGCUCUUGAGCCUGAGCGGCUUCAGGGAGCCAUGUUUGUUACUGGCGGGCGCCGGCCUCACUGAGCAUGUGCAGCCCUGGCCGGGCGGCCUCAAAGUUCUGACAUCACAGGGCGGUUCCUGAAGUGGACGUAGUUGUAAGAGCUAGUUAUUUUAGACAAUGCCUCUGGGAUCAGGGACUCUAAUCUGGAAAUAGGUAGUAGGAGAGGUCGGUGAUGCAGUCUCUGGGUCAGAGACCUGAGCUAUACGGGGUUAGAGAGGGGCCCUGGGCAGGCGAGUCUCUGGGGAGUGUGGUGAGAAUCCUUGUGUAAGAUGCUGGGAGGAGGUGGGGUCAGGGCUGGGGUCCGUGGGCCGACGGGUUGGGGGAUGGCCAGCGUCAGGGAUCAGUAGUAGAGAUUCUAUGUGCCCUGAUCGCCAGUAGAGGUUUUAAAUACAGAGUAUUCAUGAGUUUAGCAAUGUUAUUCGCCUCUCAUAAUUUAAAUAAUUUGAAGUUUUCCCCAAUAACUAGUGUCUUAGAAGUCAUGAAAAUUUCAGAAAAUGACAGGUCUUCUGAGUUCGUGAUGGGAGUUGGGCAGCAGUCGCAUACGAGCACCUGGAGAGUCCUUGCCAGUUCUUUGGGGAUGGGGAGCUCUUAAGACUGCCCUGAGACCGCCCUUUGACCUCAUUGUGGUCCUUUCUAGAUUAAAUGCUGUUUUCCAUGACCGUCUCUGUUCUUCCCAUACGCGAAUGGCAGGCAUCCAGAUCUCCAAGAAUAGAGGAUUAGGAGAGACUCCACCACCUAUGUCCUCACAGUUAAUUAUCGAUUUGUGUCACUUGCCCAUUUUCUCACUUCCUGUUUGUGUGUCAAGGAGUAUUAAUAAAUCUUUGCCUAUUUAAAGAUAUUAGCCUUGGAUUUUCAAAUAUUGCAUAUUUUGACAUGUAAAAAUUUGUUAGUUUUAUUUUUUCAACCGAUCUGACCUGUAUAGUUGGGCUUGAGGAAGCUUCCUCAUUGUACAUGUUACUAUGGAUUUUCUAAUAUUAACACAGGGUUGUAUUUUUUCCAUAUAACUUUCUAUUGAAUUUCUUUUUCCAUAUGAUAGGUGGUGAAGGUUUAGCCCAGUAAAGCAGAGAGGUUAAGAGGUUAGAUUGGGGGCUCUGGAGCCAGACCUAUGUAGAUCCGAGUCCUGGCUCUGGCACUUGAAAGCCGUGUGACCUUGGUUAAGAUACUUAGCCCCUCUCUGCCAAAUGGAGAAAUAAGGGCACCUACCCCGUAGGGUAGUUGUGUGAUUACACAAGUUAAUACACUUCAAUCACUAGCAAGAAAGUGAAUGUCAAGCUGUAUUUGUUCAGGCAGCCAUAUGGUAGCCCCACCUCCUUAGUAAACUGAGGUAUUGAAGUAUCUUCUUUUUCUUUCAGAAAAUAUUUGUCAAGCACCUUCUGUGUUCUAAGAACUGUUCUAGAGCUUUGCAUGCUAUGGAGGUCUAGAAAUUCACAUUAUGGUGGCAGGUGACAGACAAUACAAAGAGAUAAAGCAAUUUCAUAUAGUGAUAACCUAGGGAGGAGUGCUAAAAGGAGCCAAGGUGUAGUGGUGACUGGAAGGUGACCAGGGAAACCACUGUAGGGUUUCUAGUGAUGAGACCUGUGACAAAUCCCUGUGGUCAGCAGCAGGCAUUGGAUAUGUAACUUUAUUCUGUCCCAUUGAUCUUGUAGUCAACCCUGGUCUGUUCUGUAUUGUUUUAAUUACAUAAUCUUUGUAAUAAUCUUU